CCCCUGUGAACAUACCUAUACGUUGCCUCGGCGGAUCAGCCCGCGCCCUGUAAAAAGGGACGGCCCGCCCGAGGACCCUAAACUCUGUUUUUAGUGGAACUUCUGAGUAAAACAAACAAAUAAAUCA
Molecule: unclassified non-coding RNA, 127 nt
Filed under: Fusarium lacertarum
Lineage: Eukaryota; Fungi; Ascomycota; Sordariomycetes; Hypocreales; Nectriaceae
Description: partial internal transcribed space 1
Source: RNAcentral